RNAcentral lists this unclassified non-coding RNA (283 nucleotides) under uncultured Prochlorococcus sp. Its description in RNAcentral is "partial may contain 16S ribosomal RNA, 16S-23S ribosomal RNA intergenic spacer, and 23S ribosomal RNA". The stretch from base 1 to 98 matches the Rfam family "Bacterial small subunit ribosomal RNA", at positions 1437 to 1533 of the family's 1533-position model. The record is from RNAcentral. Lineage: Bacteria; Bacillati; Cyanobacteriota; Cyanophyceae; Synechococcales; Prochlorococcaceae.
AACCCUUGUGGAGGAGGACGCCGAAGGUGGGGCUAAUGACUGGGGUGAAGUCGUAACAAGGUAGCCGUACCGGAAGGUGCGGCUGGAUCACCUCCUAACAGGGAGACAACAACUGAUCGUGAUGUCUGAGUGAUUUAUUCUUAGACCAUGAUCCUGUCACCUUAGGUCGAUCGGUACCUCAGAUUUAUUGUUUAAUAAGGAUUAGAGAUUAAUUGGUCAAGCUACAAAGGGCUCACGGUGGAUACCUUGGCACACAGAGGCGAUGAGGUCAUAGCCUGUUUCC